Molecule: long non-coding RNA, 2091 nt
Organism: Rhinopithecus roxellana (golden snub-nosed monkey)
Lineage: Eukaryota; Metazoa; Chordata; Mammalia; Primates; Cercopithecidae
Exons: 3
Source: RefSeq, a predicted model, not a curated record
CCAGGCCAAGGGCUCAGACUUCCUCCUGGGGAUAAUGGGAAGGAGAACCGCAUGGCCAGGUUUUUGCCUUAGUGAGGUCCCAGAGGGGGAGCCUGGAAGGACCACUUUCUUCUUUUGGUCCUUCGGACACCCAGAGGCUCUGCCUCCCACAUCCAGCCUCCCUCCCCAGGCUCUGGGAGGCCAAGCUUCAGCCCCUCUCCUGUGCUGCUCCUUCUCCCAGAGGACUGCAUCCGCCCUCAGCACUUCAAGGCCUGCAUGUCCCCGCACCUCUCCACUCCCUGGGCUCACUCGGACCUCUCUUCUGAACUCCAGACUUGGGGAUCCUGCUCCCCUCCCCACUUCUGCACUUGGGGUCUAAUGGGACCUCAGCGGAACACAAUUCCUCCUGCCCUGACAUCAUAGUCCCCGCCUGGGAGGCCUCCUGGAUGACUCCUCUCGCCUUCUCCCUUCCCUGGAAGCAGCCCCUGGCUCAACCUCCACCUCCAUGCUGCCUCGGACCACCUGCCCCGUCCAGCUGCCAUCACCUGCCAGGUGACCACAGCAGCCUUCACUCAUCCCCAACUCCUCCACCUUCCACUGCCGCCCCCAUCCCCCAUCCCAGUCUCCCCCAGCAGCCAGAGAGAGGUCCUUCUGAAGGGUGACGUGGACCAGAACACUGCUUUGCUAAAGAGCUCCAACAGCCUAUUGGGUUACUGGAAAUUACCCCAGGCCCUAGGGGAGCUGGCCCUGCCCACCCUGGUGUCACCUCCCUCUGCCCUCCUCCUACUGACUGCACCCACCCCCUCCUCCCUGCUGGCCCUGAACCUGCCAAGCUCACUCCUGUCUUAGGGCCUUGGAAUUGCUCCUUCUGCUGGAACAUUCCUCCUCCAGCUGCUGACUGGCCCCCUCCUUUUGUGGAGAGGCCAGGCCCAGUCUCUCUCCACUGAUGAGGCAGCUGCUCUGCUCUUUCUCACAGGAGGUGUCAGCUCCACGGUUGGUUUGCUUUGGACAAACCGACAAACCAACAGUAUCCCCUAGAGCUCAGUGCCUGUUUGCUGCCCAGCAGGUUGUGAGCACUCACUUUAGUUGAGCCCCUGAGGGGCAAGGGCAAGGGCAGAGAGGAUGGAGUCCAGGAGCUGCAGGUGCAGUCACCUUCCCCUGCACCUCCCACACAUGCAUAGAGGGUGGCUAGGCCGGGCCACCCCUCGCGUCCUCAUCACCCCUGAGCCUUUCCAAGGAGGCAGCUCCAGGUGUCCAGCAAACGCCAUUUGACCACCCAGAAAGGAAUCAUUAUCAUAGGCUUAGAGCUGCUUUAGUAAUUCCUUUCCUCUCACAUCAAGGCAUCGCCUUUGAACAACCUCCUACGAGAAAAACAUAAGGCUGUGGAAUACCAGGAACUGGGAUUCUAGGUAAAAAGUUCUAGAAGGAAGCCUCGGUGCCAGAAUCCACAAACACACAGAGCAUUCCGCAGUGAGCAGCACCAGUGAUCCCAUCAGAAGCCUGCUUUCGUCAUUGAAGGUUGCCGCAGACAGCGAGGCAUCAAAAGCCAGGGGAUCCAGAGAAAACACAAAUGGCCAAGAGAGAAACUGGGGGAAAAGCCAAAGGGUUGAGAGCCAAACCGUCCAGAUGCUCCCUGCCUGCGGUGUGGCACAGAGAAAGCCCCUUGAGAUGUGGAGCAGGUGGCCUCACUGCCCUCCCGGCCGGCUGGACCAGACCCCUCUCCACAGAGACCCUCACCCCAGGGGGCUGGGCAGGAUGGACACGGUACUGACCAGGGACUGCAGGAUGGCGUGGUUGGUGGCGUUCAUGCAGGAGCCCAGCGGGAAGGAGCACUCCCCCUCACAGUAAUAGGCCGAGUAGCCUUGGGGGGCGAUGACCCAGUCCUAGGGGACAUGGGAGAAGAGUCACUUCUGAUCUACAGGUGGUGAUUGUUAUUUCAGAAACAAGGAGAGUCAGCAAUUACCAGCCAGCCAAGGUCCUGGAAGCUGACGUAGAGCUCGUGCCGACGGCAGACCUGCUGCCCGUGGGAGCCGUGGACGUCAUCUGCAGGGACAGAAGGGCAAGGUCUUUUCUGGGGUUCCUGCUCUGUGCAGCUACUAUGGGGUACCAAGG